RNAcentral lists this ribosomal RNA (440 nucleotides) under uncultured bacterium. RNAcentral's name for it is "partial 16S ribosomal RNA". It matches the Rfam family "Bacterial small subunit ribosomal RNA", at positions 338 to 795 of the family's 1533-position model. The record is from RNAcentral.
CCUACGGGAGGCAGCAGUGGGGAAUUUUGCGCAAUGGGGGGAACCCUGACGCAGCAACGCCGCGUGCGGGACGAAGGCCCUCGGGUUGGAAACCGUUUUCAGCAGGGAAGUUCCAAUACGGUACCUGCAGAAUAUGCUUCUGCUAACUACGUGCCAGCAGCCGCGGUAAUACGCAGGGGGCGAGCGUUAUCCGGAUUCAUUGGGCGUAAGGCGCUCGUUGGCGGCUGCCUAAGCGGGACCUCUAACUCCGGGUCUAAACCCCAGGCCGGGUGCCGGACUGGGCGGCUCGAGUGCGGUAGAGGAGAGCGGAAUUCCCGGUGUAGCGGUGGAAUGCGCAGAUAUCGGGAAGAACACCAAGGGCGAAGGCAGCUCUCUGGGCCGUCACUGACGCUGAGGCGCGAAAGCUGGGGGAGCGAACAGGAUUAGAUACCCGGGUAGUC